GAAAUGCGAUAAGUAAUGCGAAUUGCAGAAUUCAGUGAGUCAUCGAAUCUUUGAACGCACAUUGCGCCCUCUGGUAUUCCGGGGGGCAUGCCUGUUCGAGCGUCAUUACAACCCUCAAGCUCUGCUUGGUAUUGGGCGGCGCCCCCCCGCGGGGCGUGCCUUAAAGACAGUGGCGGUGCCGCCCGGCUCCAAGCGUAGUAACUCUUCUCGCUCUGGACGACCGGCCGCGGUGCCCGCCAGCAACCCCAACUUUCUCAGGUUGACCUCGGAUCAGGUAGGGAUACCCGCUGAACUUAA
RNAcentral lists this unclassified non-coding RNA (297 nucleotides) under uncultured Leotiomycetes. RNAcentral describes it as "sequence contains ITS1". The stretch from base 1 to 105 matches the Rfam family "5.8S ribosomal RNA", at positions 50 to 154 of the family's 154-position model. Lineage: Eukaryota; Fungi; Ascomycota; Leotiomycetes. The record is from RNAcentral.